AAGAAACACUUGGGAGGAAAGACUCUCAACUGAGAAACUGCCUCCUUAUGAUUGGCCUGUAGGCAAGUCUUUGGGGCAUUGUCUCCUUCGCUAAUUGAUGUUAGAGGGCCCAACCCACUGUGGGCCUUACUUAGUCCGCUCAGGGAGGAGGGCCCAACACAGUGGGCCUUACUACUCGGAUCAGGGAGGCUUAGGCAGUUUUAAAAGAUAGCUGAAUAUCUAGGGGAGCAAGCCAAUAAGCCGGGUACCUCUAUGGUCCCUACUCUAUCUAGUUCCUGCUUCCAGUUCCCGACCUGUCUCCCUUCCGUGAUGGGCUGUAAAAUGGAAGAUGGCAUAAGCCCUUUCUUCCCCAAGUUGCUUUUUGGUCACAGUGAUAAGUCACAUCCACAAAACGCAAACAAGGACGGCAGCCUCUCCUUUCGGUUCUAAGAAUUAACCGUGGGGAAAUGGUAGCCCAGACCUCUGAUCAAAUGACCGACAGGAAGAUUGCUCGUGUGACCUGGUUAAGGAAAAGUAUGGGGGGUGGGGGGCGGUGGAAUAGAGAUUCUGUUCCUAUGAAACAAGAGGGAAGAGCCUUGGAAAUGCACAAUGACCAAACUGCUCUAAAACGUUCAGCAAAAGAUGAACUACACAAUGAAGAGAAGUAAAGCCAGGGGACACAGCUCCAGCCAGACUGCGGCUCCAAGGGGAAGGAUGUUGGAGCCUCAUCCAAAGGCUGAGCCGAGAGGCCCUGGUGAAACGGCAGUGGCUCCCACAGCUUCAAAGUCGGCGGCAAGUUUGAUUCCUGAAGCCACAGAGAGGAAACCCGGUUUGUCACUGUCUCCCUGAGAGGUGGCUGAGCACCAUCUUGACCCUAUUGUUUAAAAUGAGCUACUACUAUAGGAGGCCAAGAACAGAGACGCCUAAGUCAGGAAGCCCCGAAUGUGAUUUACUAACAACCCCGGGAUGAUAAACAGCCCUGGCUAGUGGCUAUGGAAAAUGGAAGGGCUGAAAAGUUCGAGGGCAGGAGGCUCAACUCAGGCAGAAAAUGGACAUGAAAAGGUGGCUCCCUAGCCGAUCUCAGCAACUGAGCAUAACCCUGACGUUUGAUAGCCCUAAUUCUCAGGUCAGAGAGUAAAUCAGCAUUAAACUACUGAGGGCUAGAAGUUCUGAGGCUCUGUAGAUCUACCGAUCCACAGCUGGAAGAUAAAUAAAUACCUAGCCCGGGUAGGGAUCAGGAGUGAGGGGGUUGUAAAGAGAGGCUCUUCUCCUAUUCAGACCUCCUUGAAACGCUGCUUCCUCUCCUAUGCAACACCGAGCAACUCUCAAGCUAGAACAUUAGCCACCCCAGAAGAUGUAAUCAGAGGGUGGGGAUCUCAGAAGGGUGGGAGAACACUACCAGUCCACAAGCUGCAAAGCAAACUGUGGCCAGCAGAGGGCGAUAGUAGACAGAGAAGGGACGCUCCUGGGAUGAACAAGGCUCUGGCAGACGCCUCUUCAGCUGCCCCUGCCCCACUAUGUGCUAUAACCAGCGGCUUCAAAUAAGGAACCUUGCAAGAAGCUAUUCAUGACUUGAUGCAUUUGCUGGCACCGAAGUUUGUUUUCUCCCUCAUGCGUGAGCCAAGGGAUUAAGGCCUUGAGACUUGUCUGCUUGAGAAGAUCCUAAAAUAAAACCAGAAGAGAUAUGCAGACUACCAAGUAUGUACAUUUCAACACAUAAGAAACAUGUAAGCAAGGCAAAAUGACUCCUCAAAACUAUAAUUAUAUGGCAAUGGCUGCAAUAAAGAAAACUGAAAUUGCUGACUGAAGAUUAACCUAUUUCUUAGUCAGCAUCCAUGGUGGCUCGCACCUCUACUGGCAGCAUUAGGAAGAUAGAGGAAAGAUGACAGUCGUGAGUUCCACUCCAGCUUGGGAUACAGAGCCAAGCCUUAUCUCAGAACAAAAGCCUAGGAGUAAAAGGGACCUCAAAGAGACUGAACACUGACUUGAUCAAAGAGAACACCAACUGCUACAUGGACUCAGCCUGGGAUCUGGAAAGAAAAGUCAGAAAAAUAAAAAAAUAAAAUAAAAUUUUAAAAAAAGAA
Molecule: long non-coding RNA, 2063 nt
Organism: Mastomys coucha (southern multimammate mouse)
Lineage: Eukaryota; Metazoa; Chordata; Mammalia; Rodentia; Muridae
Exons: 2
Source: RefSeq, a predicted model, not a curated record